GACUGGGAUAACUUCGGGAAACCGGAGCUAAUACCGGAUACGUUCUUUUCUCGCAUGAGAGAAGAUGGAAAGACGGUUUACGCUGUCACUUAUAGAUGGGCCCGCGGCGCAUUAGCUAGUUGGUGAGGUAAUGGCUCACCAAGGCGACGAUGCGUAGCCGACCUGAGAGGGUGAUCGGCCACACUGGGACUGAGACACGGCCCAGACUCCUACGGGAGGCAGCAGUAGGGAAUCUUCCGCAAUGGACGAAAGUCUGACGGAGCAACGCCGCGUGAACGAAGAAGGCCUUCGGGUCGUAAAGUUCUGUUGUUAGGGAAGAACAAGUACCAGAGUAACUGCUGGUACCUUGACGGUACCUAACCAGAAAGCCACGGCUAACUACGUGCCAGCAGCCGCGGUAAUACGUAGGUGGCAAGCGUUGUCCGGAAUUAUUGGGCGUAAAGCGCGCGCAGGUGGUUCCUUAAGUCUGAUGUGAAAGCCCACGGCUCAACCGUGGAGGGUCAUUGGAAACUGGGGAACUUGAGUGCAGAAGAGGAAAGUGGAAUUCCAAGUGUAGCGGUGAAAUGCGUAGAGAUUUGGAGGAACACCAGUGGCGAAGGC
This 600-nucleotide ribosomal RNA is filed under the name Bacillus sp. (in: firmicutes). RNAcentral's name for it is "bacterial SSU rRNA". It matches the Rfam family "Bacterial small subunit ribosomal RNA", at positions 136 to 722 of the family's 1533-position model. Lineage: Bacteria; Bacillati; Bacillota; Bacilli; Caryophanales; Bacillaceae. The record is from RNAcentral.